GCUGAAGUAGUCCGGAGGUGGCAGGCUUGGUGGGGAGAACCAGAAUCCAGGAGGGUAAUAGAAUCAAUGUGAAUCUAUGAUCCAGCAGGGAGUGAAUGGAGGCAUGGACCUUAAAUACUGGAGUCCAAUCAGGACAGCAGAUCCCCGCGGAGGCUUUGUAAAGUAGAAAUCCUGCCCAGAUUUCCCCCGAGCCCAGACAGCGAAACCACAGAGUCACAGAGGGUCGGAGGUUUAAACGUGACUCACAUCCUCCAUCAUGUCGCUGCUUCUUUCCCGGAACUCUUCAUCGGAUCAGGUUUCAGACUCUCAGAUCUGCUGCUGCUUUUGUGCAGGAAAAUAUAAACAGUAACCUGCUGAGUCUGCACAAGUUUAUUACCUGAUAAUGAUUAGGUCGAGUUGAUGUUUAUAAAAACACAUUCUGCACAACAAUACAACGGAUCUGUGAACUGGAGGGAAGAAAAGCCACAGAUCCAUGGAAUUAGUGGAAACUCUGUCCUCCCAUCCAUCAUCCUGACUGACACGUUCCACUGCGUUUAUCUGGACUGCAGUUAAAGAAAGCAUUAUGUCAUCUGAGUUACGACUGAGCAGAGUGUUUCCAGCAUCCAGACAGACUCCAGAGCCCAUAAAUCACCUGAACUUCCUCACUGUGAUCCUGCAUCGGUUCCUUCGGUCUGGAUUCAAACCAGAACGCAGCAGCAGGUGGAAGGAACUUUCUGCUGGAUGUGGUUUUAAAGACGGGAGGGAGGAACAAAUUACAAGCGAUCCAUCCUGAAGAGAGACCAGAAUGUACGUCCACGGCUGAUUUUGGAUUUGGGAGGCGGUUACAUCAUCUGAGAGAGAUUUUUAUGGCACCUUUGUGCUGAUGUGCAACAUAGAAGCAGUCAGUCAAACAGAAAUAUGGCUCAAAUGAUUCAGAGAUUUGGGUAUUUACAGAUACGCUCUUUUAUUUACAGAUCAGCCACAACAUUACAACCACCUGAAUAAUGAUGUGUAGGUUCCUCUAAAGCAGGGCUGUCAAACUCAUCUUAGUUCAGGUUCCACAUUCAGCCCAAUUUAAUCUCCAGCGACCAGUAAAAUCACAGCAGAAUGACCUAGAAAUAACCACAACUCCAUUUUUUUCUUUGUUUUAGUGCAAAAAUGUUAAUUCUGAAAAUGUUCACGUUUAAGGAAUUCUCUUUUUACAAAAUAUUAUGAACAACCUGAAAUUUCUGAAGAAAAAUAAGUUCAAUUUCAACAAGAACCUGGAACUGAAUGAUGUAGUAUUUUUACUUUAUGAUCAAAACGACAAAAGAACAAUAAAAAAGACAACAACAAAAACAAGACAAAAUGCUACAAAAGUAAGACACAAAAUGACAAAAGCAAGAAACAAGAUGGCAAAUAAUGAGACAAACGACCCGAAAAAACAAAAAAAGAAAAAAGUUACACAAAAAAGUUACAAAGUGACAAAAAAAUGGACAAACAACAAAAGCGAGAGAAAAAAUUAUACAAACGACACAAAUGACAAAGGCGAGAAAUAAAAUGCCAAAAAAGUAGACUAACAACCAAAGCGAGACAAAACGACACAAAACGACACACAAAAUGACAAAUAAAGCAAAACACAAAAUGACAAAAACAUGA
Long non-coding RNA from Amphiprion ocellaris (clown anemonefish), 1617 nucleotides. RefSeq lists it as uncharacterized. The record is from RefSeq and is a predicted model, not a curated record. NCBI's taxonomy places the organism in Eukaryota, Metazoa, Chordata, Actinopteri, Pomacentridae. The transcript is spliced from 4 exons.